Molecule: long non-coding RNA, 731 nt
Filed under: Homo sapiens (human)
Lineage: Eukaryota; Metazoa; Chordata; Mammalia; Primates; Hominidae
Description: HSALNT0028295
Source: RNAcentral
CCUCACGUUCAGGGGUUGUUGUUGUGGCUCAAGCACUUUGACGGGUAGAUGGCACUCAGGUCAGUACCCCUAAAUGGGGAGGCUCUGGCCAGUCACUGCCUUGGCUCUGGGAGCCUGGACUAUAUUUGGAACUCUUAGGGGCCCUGGGUCAUUGUGAAGUCUCCAGCGAGGAAUCUGCCUCUCAUUUGCUUGGAUGAAACACUGUUGAGCAGUUUGGGCUGUGCUGGUUCUGAAGAGUGAAGCAGCAUUGCAGGGAAAUGAAGAUGGCAUAUGGAAAGGCGAUUCUUAUACUCAGAAGGAAAAGUUCCCAUGGAAGCCAUGGAUUCAUUCAUGACAAAGAUCCCAGCCAUGUUGCCCUCAGUAGCCCUCCCUCCUUGGACUGUGACAGUUUCUCCAUCUUCUUUUGUUUACAUGACCUUGAUCGCUUUGAGGAGUACAGGGCCAUAGGUUCCAGCAGUUCUCAUGACCCAGGUUACCACACAUUGCUAGACAGGUGGGAGGCUCUAGCUGAACUGUCCUGAAUCCCCAGCCGCAGGCUGUCUGACCCACCCAGGCAGUGUUUCCUAGCUGAUUGGCAAAAAUCCAAAAUGUCUGUGCACACUGCUGGUGAGGCUAUGGUAAAACAAUUACAUAUUUCUGGUUGGUGUGUCCUUGUGAAGUGAAAUUUGGCAGUAAGUAACAAAAUUACUCAUGCAUUUCCCACGGAUCAGCAUCUCCACUUGACAUAAAAU